GAUGAACGCUGGCGGCGUGCCUAAUAUAUGCAAGUCGAGCGAACGGACGAGAAGCUUGCUUCUCUGAUGUUAGCGGCGGACGGGUGAGUAACACGUGGAUAACCUACCUAUAAGACUGGGAUAACUUCGGGAAACCGGAGCUAAUACCGGAUAAUAUUUUGAACCGCAUGGUUCAAAAGUGAAAGACGGUCUUGCUGUCACUUAUAGAUGGAUCCGCGCUGCAUUAGCUAGUUGGUAAGGUAACGGCUUACCAAGGCAACGAUGCAUAGCCGACCUGAGAGGGUGAUCGGCCACACUGGAACUGAGACACGGUCCAGACUCCUACGGGAGGCAGCAGUAGGGAAUCUUCCGCAAUGGGCGAAAGCCUGACGGAGCAACGCCGCGUGAGUGAUGAAGGUCUUCGGAUCGUAAAACUCUGUUAUUAGGGAAGAACAUAUGUGUAAGUAACUGUGCACAUCUUGACGGUACCUAAUCAGAAAGCCACGGCUAACUACGUGCCAGCAGCCGCGGUAAUACGUAGGUGGCAAGCGUUAUCCGGAAUUAUUGGGCGUAAAGCGCGCGUAGGCGGUUUUUUAAGUCUGAUGUGAAAGCCCACGGCUCAACCGUGGAGGGUCAUUGGAAACUGGAAAACUUGAGUGCAGAAGAGGAAAGUGGAAUUCCAUGUGUAGCGGUGAAAUGCGCAGAGAUAUGGAGGAACACCAGUGGCGAAGGCGACUUUCUGGUCUGUAACUGACGCUGAUGUGCGAAAGCGUGGGGAUCAAACAGGAUUAGAUACCCUGGUAGUCCACGCCGUAAACGAUGAGUGCUAAGUGUUAGGGGGUUUCCGCCCCUUAGUGCUGCAGCUAACGCAUUAAGCACUCCGCCUGGGGAGUACGACCGCAAGGUUGAAACUCAAAGGAAUUGACGGGGACCCGCACAAGCGGUGGAGCAUGUGGUUUAAUUCGAAGCAACGCGAAGAACCUUACCAAAUCUUGACAUCCUUUGACAACUCUAGAGAUAGAGCCUUCCCCUUCGGGGGACAAAGUGACAGGUGGUGCAUGGUUGUCGUCAGCUCGUGUCGUGAGAUGUUGGGUUAAGUCCCGCAACGAGCGCAACCCUUAAGCUUAGUUGCCAUCAUUAAGUUGGGCACUCUAAGUUGACUGCCGGUGACAAACCGGGGGAAGGUGGGGAUGACGUCAAAUCAUCAUGCCCCUUAUGAUUUGGGCUACACACGUGCUACAAUGGACAAUACAAAGGGCAGCGAAACCGCGAGGUCAAGCAAAUCCCAUAAAGUUGUUCUCAGUUCGGAUUGUAGUCUGCAACUCGACUACAUGAAGCUGGAAUCGCUAGUAAUCGUAGAUCAGCAUGCUACGGUGAAUACGUUCCCGGGUCU
This 1372-nucleotide ribosomal RNA is filed under the name uncultured bacterium. Its description in RNAcentral is "bacterial SSU rRNA". It matches the Rfam family "Bacterial small subunit ribosomal RNA", at positions 28 to 1381 of the family's 1533-position model. The record is from RNAcentral.